CAGAAAGUAGUUUAAUAAAAAUUUAGGUUUUGGAAAUCUAAGAUGUCUAGUAGGUCUUUCUGA
This 63-nucleotide transfer RNA is filed under the name Amphibalanus improvisus. RNAcentral's name for it is "tRNA-Pro". The record is from RNAcentral. Lineage: Eukaryota; Metazoa; Arthropoda; Thecostraca; Balanomorpha; Balanidae.